UACGUAGGGUGCAAGCGUUGUCCGGAAUUAUUGGGCGUAAAGAGCUCGUAGGCGGCUUGUCGCGUCGGCUGUGAAAACCUGGGGCUCAACCCCGGGCCUGCAGCCGAUACGGGCAAGCUAGAAUUCGGUAGGGGAGACUGGAAUUCCUGGUGUAGCGGUGAAAUGCGCAGAUAUCAGGAAGAACACCCGUGGCGAAGGCGGCUCUCUGGGACGGUACUGACGCUGAGACGCAAAAGCGUGGGGAGCGAACAGG
RNAcentral lists this ribosomal RNA (253 nucleotides) under uncultured bacterium. Its description in RNAcentral is "partial 16S ribosomal RNA". It matches the Rfam family "Bacterial small subunit ribosomal RNA", at positions 524 to 776 of the family's 1533-position model. The record is from RNAcentral.